GGGGUCGACUGGUUUUGACAGCGGGUUUAAAUUAAAGUGUAAGCAUGCAGAGCGCCGGGAUACAGCUCUUUAAUCUCAUGUUCCGAACCUUUAAAUGGCGAAACUAACUACGCUCUUGCUGCGUAAUCCGAAUUAUAGUACGAUUUAGCCGUGUUUCCGCAAGGCGGAAAAGCAGGAUGUCUCCGGGUAGCCUUUGUUGGCGGCGAUCCGUAAGGAGGCACCAUAAAUGUCAACAUAGAAAUCGCGGGGCUUCGGCGCGGUUUUAAAAUUUAA
This 273-nucleotide transfer-messenger RNA is filed under the name Sinomicrobium sp. RNAcentral's name for it is "partial transfer-messenger RNA". It matches the Rfam family "transfer-messenger RNA", at positions 1 to 244 of the family's 374-position model. Rfam says of the family: Bacterial tmRNA, also known as 10Sa RNA or SsrA, is named for its dual tRNA and mRNA-like properties. The record is from RNAcentral. Lineage: Bacteria; Pseudomonadati; Bacteroidota; Flavobacteriia; Flavobacteriales; Flavobacteriaceae.